RNAcentral lists this ribosomal RNA (465 nucleotides) under uncultured bacterium. Its description in RNAcentral is "partial 16S ribosomal RNA". It matches the Rfam family "Bacterial small subunit ribosomal RNA", at positions 28 to 507 of the family's 1533-position model. The record is from RNAcentral.
GACGAACGCUGGCGGCGUGCUUAACACAUGCAAGUCGUACGGUAAGGCCCUUUCGGGGGUACACGAGUGGCGAACAGGUGAGUAACACGUGAGUAACCUGCCCACAACUUUGGGAUAACGCUAGGAAACUGGUGCUAAUACUGGAUAUGUGCUCCUGCUGCAUGGUGGGGGUUGGAAAGCUCCGGCGGUUGUGGAUGGACUCGCGGCCUAUCAGCUUGUUGGUGGGGUAGUGGCCUACCAAGGCGGCGACGGGUAGCCGGCCUGAGAGGGUGACCGGCCACAUUGGGACUGAGAUACGGCCCAGACUUCUACGGGAGGCAGCAGUGGGGAAUAUUGCACAAUGGGCGCAAGCCUGAUGCAGCAACGCCGCGUGCGGGAUGACGGCCUUCGGGUUGUAAACCGCUUUCAGCAGGGACGAAGCUUUUUGUGACGGUACCUGCAGAAGAAGCACCGGCUAACUACGUG